Molecule: microRNA precursor, 167 nt
Filed under: Oryza brachyantha (malo sina)
Lineage: Eukaryota; Viridiplantae; Streptophyta; Magnoliopsida; Poales; Poaceae
Description: MIR812 microRNA precursor family
Rfam family: MIR812 microRNA precursor family
Source: Rfam by way of RNAcentral
UACAAUGUUUAACUUCUUAUCUUAUUUAAAAUAUUUUUAUAAUUAAUAAUUUUAUUUUUAUUAGAUGAUAAAAUAUAAAUAGUACUUUAUGUAUGACUAAUUUUUUUAAAAAUUUUUAAAAUUUUUUCAAAUAAGACGGAUGGUCAAAUGCUCGACACAAAAACCGA